AGAGUUUGAUCCUGGCUCAGGAUGAACGCUAGCGGCAGGCCUAAUACAUGCAAGUCGAACGCUCAGUAGCAUACUGGGAGUGGCGCACGGGUGCGUAACGCGUACACAAUCUACCUCUAAGCGGGGGACACCUCCUGAAACGGGGAUUAAUACCGCAUAAUAUGCCGAAGUCGCAUGACUUUGGUAUUAAAAGCAGCAAUGCACUUAGAGAUGAGUGUGCGUCCCAUUAGGUAGUUGGUGAGGUAACGGGCUCACCAAGCCUAUGAUGGGUAGCCGGUCUGAGAGGAUGGUCGGCCACACGGGCACUGAGACACGGGCCCGACUCCUACGGGAGGCAGCAGUAAGGAAUAUUGGUCAAUGGUGGAAACACUGAACCAGCCAUGCCGCGUGGAGGAAUAAGGUCCUACGGAUUGUAAACUCCUUUUGACGAGGAAGAAAAUGUUAGAUUUAUCUAAUUUUGACGGUACUCGUAGAAUAAGCACCGGCUAACUCCGUG
Molecule: ribosomal RNA, 496 nt
Filed under: uncultured bacterium
Lineage: Bacteria
Description: bacterial SSU rRNA
Rfam family: Bacterial small subunit ribosomal RNA
Source: RNAcentral